UACGUAGGGUGCAAGCGUUGCCCGGAAUUAUUGGGCGUAAAGAGCGUGUAGGCGGCCCGAUUAGUCCGCUGUGAAAGUCCAGGGCUCAACCCUGGAAUGUCGGUGGAUACUGUCGGGCUAGAGUCCGGAAGGGGCGAGUGGAAUUCCUGGUGUAGCGGUGAAAUGCGCAGAUAUCAGGAGGAACACCAAUGGCGAAGGCAGCUCGCUGGGACGUGACUGACGCUGAGACGCGAAAGCGUGGGGAGCAAACAGG
Molecule: ribosomal RNA, 253 nt
Filed under: uncultured bacterium
Lineage: Bacteria
Description: partial 16S ribosomal RNA
Rfam family: Bacterial small subunit ribosomal RNA
Source: RNAcentral